GAUUAACGCUGGCGGCGUGCCUAACACAUGCAAGUCGAGCGGCAGCGCGUUUUACACUGCAUUCUGGAAGCUUCUAGUUGAAAGAGAAGAUUUAUUCAAGAAUUUUGUGUAAAAUGUCGGCGAGCGGCGGACGGCUGAGUAACGCGUGGGAACGUACCCCAAAGUGAGGGAUAACGCAUCGAAAGGUGUGCUAAUACCGCAUAUGGUCUUCGGAUUAAAGCCUUCGGGCGCUUUGGGAACGGCCUGCGUAAGAUUAGAUAGUUGGUGGGGUAAUGGCCUACCAAGGCGACGAUCUUUAACUGGUUUGAGAGGAUGAUCAGUCAGACUGGAGCUGAGACACGGUCCAGACUCCUACGGGAGGGAGCAGUGAGGAAUCUUCCACAAUGGGCGAAAGCCUGAUGGAGCAACGCCGCGUGCAGGAUGAAGGCCUUCGGGUUGUAAACUGCUUUUAUAAGUGAGGAUUAUGACAGUAACUGAUGAAUAAGGAUCGGCUAACUACGUG
This 502-nucleotide ribosomal RNA is filed under the name uncultured bacterium. RNAcentral's name for it is "partial 16S ribosomal RNA". It matches the Rfam family "Bacterial small subunit ribosomal RNA", at positions 28 to 507 of the family's 1533-position model. The record is from RNAcentral.